UUUCAAGCAUUCUGUUUGUGGUACAGGUGAUGACAAUGUUCUCAUCACUUCUAAUUCUUUGCCUACUUUAUCCUUUGGUUUUGGGGUAGCGAUAUUUUAACAACUAGUUUUUUACAACACUUUUGACAACGCCACGUGGCACAUUGUAAUUGGUUGGGUUUGAAUUUCAUUUUUUUAAUAAGAAAAUGUGCUUUUGAUGAAUUUCCCAAAGUGUCCCGCUUAAUUUUUUCACUGAAACCUCUUUCCAGAAGAGUUGGUGCUCAAUGUUAGGGAUUUCAUUUUCAAAUUUUCGUUCUCUCUCCUUCGCGCAAUCGUUCUUCUCUGUCCCAGCACUAUCGUUCUCUGUUCCACCAGUCUCGUUCUCCUUCGCACUCUCUUUUUCGUCUUCCAUUUUCAGGCAGUUUCCUAUUUAAGGACAUUGUAUGCAUUUACAAAUGAAACUUUGGCUAAGUAUUCAUAUGCAACAUCAUUGCAAGCUACUCUUAGAUAUGGUAUAUUAAUUAGUCUUAUUCAAGGUCUUGGUCUUGGAUUUACAUAUGGUCUAGCAAUAUGUUCUUGUGCGUUACAACUCUGGGUUGGAAGAUUCUUGAUUAUUCAUGGAAAAGCGCAUGGUGGUGAAAUUAUAGCAGCUCUUUUUGCUAUAAUUCUAAGUGGCCUAACAAAGCAGAGGGGAUGAUCUAGAAUCUCUUGGUUACGUGAAGGUUAGAUAAUUGAGAAAUGUUUCUACUUUAUGACUUUUGGAGGUUUAAUGCUAUUGAAGAAACGAAGAAAGUCAACAAGCAAUAGGAAAUACCAAAAACAUAUUAAUGCUGCUUUAGACGAACAAGAUGCUUUAAUUAAAGAAUUUGAAGAAGAGUUAUCUGCAUUGCAAGUUGAGCUGCUUGAAGCGUAGAAUAAAGAUGAUGGUGGUUACAGUACACCAUGUAAAGAACAUGACAAUUACAAUGACUUUGCAUGUGAGAGAGGAAUUUACAGCCAUGAAACCGUUAUGAAGGAAGGACUACACCGAGAGCGUUACAAAAGCAAAGCUUGUAGAACUUCCUACACUGGAUAUAGUACAAGACUUUAUUGAUCUAUGUAAUUUGUUAAUAGUGCAAUAUUUAGUACAUCUUGAAGUAUGGAUAAUUGUAUUUGGAUCAAUUAUUUUGAUUGUUAAUAAAUAAAGAAAGUGGUUAUUCGAAUUAUGAAUGUUAUUUUCAUUCCA
This is a long non-coding RNA of Vigna radiata var. radiata (mung bean), 1204 nucleotides long. RefSeq lists it as uncharacterized. The record is from RefSeq and is a predicted model, not a curated record. NCBI's taxonomy places the organism in Eukaryota, Viridiplantae, Streptophyta, Magnoliopsida, Fabales, Fabaceae. The transcript has 3 exons.